RNAcentral lists this transfer RNA (85 nucleotides) under Thermoprotei archaeon. RNAcentral describes it as "tRNA-Leu". It matches the Rfam family "tRNA". From Rfam's summary of the family: Transfer RNA (tRNA) molecules are approximately 80 nucleotides in length. Their secondary structure includes four short double-helical elements and three loops (D, anti-codon, and T loops). The record is from RNAcentral. Lineage: Archaea; Thermoproteati; Thermoproteota; Thermoprotei.
GCGGGGGUGCCCGAGCAAGGCCAAAGGGGCGGGGCUUAGGACCCCGUGGUGUAGGCCUACGCGGGUUCAAGUCCCGCCCCCCGCA